RNAcentral lists this ribosomal RNA (327 nucleotides) under uncultured Bacillota bacterium. RNAcentral describes it as "bacterial SSU rRNA". It matches the Rfam family "Bacterial small subunit ribosomal RNA", at positions 29 to 351 of the family's 1533-position model. Lineage: Bacteria; Bacillati; Bacillota. The record is from RNAcentral.
AAUGAACGCUGGCGGCGUGCUUAACACAUGCAAGUCGCACGAGAACGCUUCAGCUUGCUGAGGCUAGUAAAGUGGCGCACGGGUGAGUAACGCGUGGGUAACCUGCCCUGUACACACGGAUAACAUACCGAAAGGUAUGCUAAUACGAGAUAACAUACUUUUAUCGCAUGGUAGAAGUAUCAAAGCUCCGGCGGUACAGGAUGGACCCGCGUCUGAUUAGCUAGUUGGUAAGGUAACGGCUUACCAAGGCGACGAUCAGUAGCCGACCUGAGAGGGUGAUCGGCCACAUUGGAACUGAGACACGGUCCAAACUCCUACGGGUGGCUG